GUGCUCGCGUCCUCCCCGCGCGGCGGACAGCCCGGGCGCCCUUCCUCUCUGCGGGACUGCAGGUCUAUCCGCUAAGCGCGCGUGACCAAAAACGGCUCUCAGCGGGUCCCAGCUGACGGAAGCUGGAAACUGGGAAGUUUGUCAGACAAAGCUCUUCAGGUUACUGGCAAUUUAUGUGCUGGGAGGUGGAUUUGUGGGCAGAGCUCCGGCUGACCUGGUGUUGUCCUGCUAUGGCUACAGACUUCUGACUAUGCUUAUCAGAAAAACUUUCAUUUGGUUCAAGGAUUUUUGCUGACAAGUUUAUUUAAUCCCUGAACCUGGAUCCAAGGCAUCUCCCUGUAGAAAACAUCAGACCGGGGCAGAGAUUGACAAAGCAACCCAAAGCAGCAGCUGCCAACGGCCGCUGUGCCCACCUCAUCAGCAGCUAAAGAGUAUAAUUUUAAAAAAAGUCACAGAAGAAUGUGGAGACACUUAGCAAAACGGACUCUCAUAAGGUUCCCUAUUUUGUCAGUAAGGAAGUAAACAACCGCUAAAACAACCCUCUAACAACAGAAGACCCUCAUGAGAACACCAGGCAGCAGAAGCUUCUUUAGCAGUAAAAGAUAUCUGGAUAUUCAUAUUUUGUUCCAUGAUCUUCAACAUUAAAUAAAUAAACUUAAUAUUCAAGU
This 668-nucleotide long non-coding RNA is filed under the name Homo sapiens (human). RNAcentral describes it as "HSALNT0335829". The record is from RNAcentral. Lineage: Eukaryota; Metazoa; Chordata; Mammalia; Primates; Hominidae.